Molecule: long non-coding RNA, 761 nt
Organism: Nicotiana tabacum (common tobacco)
Lineage: Eukaryota; Viridiplantae; Streptophyta; Magnoliopsida; Solanales; Solanaceae
Source: RefSeq, a predicted model, not a curated record
AAAAUCUUUACCGGCAAAUAAUUGAUAGCCGGCGAUAAAUCCUUUCGCUGACAAUUAAAAUACUUGGCUAGUAAAAGUUAUGCCGGAAAUCGCCAAUUUUUCAUAUUUCCACCAAUCUUUUCCCCAGUUCCCUCCUUCACUUUUAUACAUCAGAGAGGUUUUUCUUUUCAAAUGCCGAUUGAAAUCUCUCUCGGCUGAUACUCCCAUAUUAGCCCAAAAAUCACUCUCCAUAUCGGUUUAUCUCCCCCACUUCUCUCUCCCCCUAUAAACAAAACAAUAUUCAACUAGCAAAAAGCUAGGGCUUGAAAACCACAUAGAAGAACAGUAGCUAUCUUCUUCUAUCUUUAUAGAUUUGCUUCAAAACUGCAACGAUUACAAUCAAAGAGAGAAACUAAGUGGUCUUUUCCAAAGGGGCGGUUGGAGUUGAAAAAAAUCCUAUCGCUAUCCUUCCUCAGUUUGACUUUGCUUCUAGUAUCCUUUUCGAUGAUCCUGGAAUAUUAUAUGAGAGGAAGCAACAUGGAGUGUUUUGGAGGUGAUAAUGUGAAGAAAAUGCCCACUCGAGAAGUACCUGAGCACUAAGAAGCAGAAAAUGGCCUGGGCAAGAAGUCUAUCGCGACCGUGGUGGAACCGCGGUGAACCGCGAUAGAUUAAAAUCGUGAGGCAGAAAGGUCAGCUCUCACCGCGGUCGACCGCAAGUGACCGUGACCGCGGUGCACUGUUCACGCUGCUGGAAGUUUGAGGACCAAAGUGUAAUUUCGGGG